GGUAAGGUAGCUCAGUGGUAGAGUGCUUGCCUUGUACACAUGAGAUCCUGGGUUCAAUUCCUCAGCACCA
This 70-nucleotide transfer RNA is filed under the name Dipodomys ordii (Ord's kangaroo rat). It matches the Rfam family "tRNA". From Rfam's summary of the family: Transfer RNA (tRNA) molecules are approximately 80 nucleotides in length. Their secondary structure includes four short double-helical elements and three loops (D, anti-codon, and T loops). Lineage: Eukaryota; Metazoa; Chordata; Mammalia; Rodentia; Heteromyidae. The record is from Rfam by way of RNAcentral.